RNAcentral lists this ribosomal RNA (497 nucleotides) under uncultured bacterium. Its description in RNAcentral is "partial 16S ribosomal RNA". It matches the Rfam family "Bacterial small subunit ribosomal RNA", at positions 28 to 507 of the family's 1533-position model. The record is from RNAcentral.
GAUGAACGCUGGCGGCGUGCCUAAUACAUGCAAGUCGAGCGAACGGACGAUACGCUUGCGUCUUGGAUGUUAGCGGCGGACGGGUGAGUAACAUGUGUAUAACCUACCUAUAAGACGGGGAUAACUUCGGGAAACGGGAGCUAAUACGGUAGGAUAUUUUGCACCGCAUGGGUCAAAAGUGAAAUACGGUGUUGCGGUCACUUAUAGAUGGAUCUGCGCUGCAUGAGCUAGUUGGUAAGGUAACGGCCUACCACGGGAACGAUGCAUAGACGAACUGAGAGGGGGAUCGGCGACCCGGGAACUGAGACACGGUCCAGACUCCUACGGGAGGCAGCAGUAGGGAAUCUGCCGCAAUGGGCGAAAGCCUGACGGAGCAACGCCGCGUGAGUGAUGAAGGUCUUCGGUUCGUAAAACUCGGUUAUUAGGGAAGAACAUAUGUGUAAGUAACUGUGCCGAGCUUGACGGUAACUAAUAAGAAAGCACCGGCUAACUACGUG